This 56-nucleotide ribosomal RNA is filed under the name uncultured bacterium. RNAcentral describes it as "partial 16S ribosomal RNA". The record is from RNAcentral.
CGCCGCGUGAGGGAUGAAGGGCUUCGGGUUGUAAACCUCUUUCGAGUGGGACGAAA